Molecule: long non-coding RNA, 609 nt
Filed under: Danio rerio (zebrafish)
Lineage: Eukaryota; Metazoa; Chordata; Actinopteri; Cypriniformes; Danionidae
Description: si:ch211-198i6.2 (ENSDARG00000104079.2)
Source: RNAcentral
CUUAAAACUGGGGUAAAGAUGCUCAAAAUAUUACAUUUUAAUUUAAUUAUUAUUAUUAAGUUUAGUUUUGCAGGUGAAAAUUUUAUUGUUUUAUUUCAAAGCUAAAUAUAAUAAGGCACUAAAUACAAAUAAUCUUAUUUUGCUUUCAUUUUUUACAGAUGCCGAAUCAGCAUUCAUCCAGUCUCACACCAACACAGUAAAAAGAGACAGGAAUCCACCAUACGUUUCGAACACGAAGGUUUGAGGAAAUCCAGAUUGGACUUGAAGUGACUCUCGGCCUGGUCCAGCCAGUUUUUGGGAGACCUGCAGAUCAUGUCCUGAGUGAAUCUGGCCACACUUGUGUCCGGGAUGGUCACAAAAUCCUCAAGUUUGAUUGAGCUGCACAUGUCUCUGAGAUGGACGCCAAAACCUUUGAUCAGCACCUGCGGGAGCACCGGUGAUAAGCAUGGUUAAGCAGUAAGAGCAGAUAACUAGGUGUUCACAAAGGCUUUUUGGAGACUGAAGGACUGAGCUAUUCACAUGACCCAUGAGUUCAUUAUCUGGAGAGCCACUUAGGCUGGAUGCCCUGAAUACACAUUGUGAGGUACAUUAAGGUAAAACUAGGCUGCC